UUGGAAACACCAGAAAAUUCAACAAAAAACCCUAAACCACAAAACACCCUAAAAUCUAUCUCUAACCAAAGGCAGCCACCGGAGCCCUCCACCCUUUGGAUUUUUUAUUUUUUUUCUUCUCCCUUCCCCCGUUUCAUUUUUUUCGACCCAAACCAGGCCAGAUUUCCUCCUCCUUAACCCAGCCACGGUCAUCAACACACUGCCUGCAUUUACCAGCUCCCCCGAAACCGGCCGGCCAGACAAUCUCUUCCUCACUGCAAAUUCUCAGCCCCCCUGACUUCGGUUUACCCCACUGUCACUAACCAAUUAAACCCACAACCAUCGGCCUCCCCCUUUCCAUUUUUUUUUUCACAGAGAACCAGCCACAACCUCUCUUCUUCUCCAACACACCGUCUCUCCCCCUUCGUCAUUUUCCGUUCUUCUAGCCAGCUAAGAGCUGAGCUCCCUCAGUCAAAACAGAGUCGUUCUCUCAUCUCCACCAAGCCACCGAUCUGCCACCCGAAGCAGAGGAGAAGAAGACGAAGCCCAGCGCCCACCGCGGCGCAACCAGCAGCUCCGGCCACAGAGCCUCCACCAGCAGCCCUUCGGUCACACCGCCGAGUGCUUGAAACAGAAGGGUGGGCAAGCAAAAGACCAGAAUAGAUCGGCGAAGAAGGAAGCCAGACCCGAACCGAUGAAGAAGACCCAAAAACAUAUCUGAAAAAACUAAAAAAAAACUUAAAAUCGACUGCCCUUGUUGUGUUGUUGUUUGUUUUGCAGGUGACGGGCAGCAGUAGAUUGAAGAGGGGAGGAAGCCAUUGCAGCCCCCUCACGCCGCCUGAUUUCUGGGCAGCGCGUGAACCCACGCGCCGCCAGUGACGGUGGCGCGUGGGAAGACGCGCCGCCACUGAUUUCUGCCCCAGCAACCUUCCCGUCACUGUUCCCGAGCACUGUUCCUGCGGAUUCCAUAAAAAUUAGGAUGUUUUAGGGGGUAUUUUGUAAUUUUAAAUGGUUUGAUGUAAAUUUUUUAGUAUUGAAUUUUUAUUGGUAUUUUGUAAAUAUGGAUGUAAAAGAAAAGAAAAGAAAAAGAAAAGAAAAGAAAUAAAAAAAAAUAGUGAAAGUGUAUGUGUGGGUUUGAAUUUGUUAUUUUAUUUAUUUAUUUAUUUAUUUUUUAGGAUAAAAUUGCAAAUCUAUUAAAGAAGAAUUUAAUAUUUUGAUCGGAUCACGGUUAAGAAUUAUUAACUUAUACGUAAGUGAUAUUUCUAAUUUCCGACGAAAAGACAAUUAUUAAAACUUCUUUAACACAUCAAAGUCGCGAAGCAGCUUACCUCAGGUAGGGUGCGUUAGGGGUGCUAAUACCUUCCCUAACCACAACCAGUUCCUUACCUGCGAAUCUCUAACAAGACCAGUACAUCCGGUUUCCUAGUAGCCCGAAAUCAAUUACUAGGUGGCGACUCCAACGAACCAAAUUCAAACAUUACGCAACGAGACGAAAAAUCGCCAGCCGAUGCCGCGCGCUGAUUUUUUUUUUAUGGUGCGACAGAAUGGCGACUCCGCUGGGGUAGGUAUUUUUUCGAUUAUUGGACUAAGCUUUGUGUAUUUGAUGUAUUUAAGUUUUUGCAUUUUUAUCUUUUUGGUUAAUAUUUAUUUCCAUGCAUUUUAUAGAAUUGUCUCAUGCAUCACUUUGUAUUUGUUUUUAAAAGCACACACAAGCUUCUAGGUUAGGUGGGGAAUUAGCGAUCUGCCCUAAGACUAUUGGUCAGGGUUCAGAUGCGUGAAACACCCAACUCAUAUCUGAGUGCCUGCUUGGUAAUGGUGGGUAUACGUACCUUAACCAUUCCUUGCAACGCCCCCAAACUGUCUUUACGAAGAACGUCACUGGGCAGAUAUGAGACCCUUUUGAGACCAGAUAGAAAACUUACCCAUGUUCACAUAAUGAAUAGAACUGUCCUUAGGUUGUAUGUGCUAUCGUUUUUUGCAUAAGGGCAAACCCUUCUUGAAGCAUCUUGAACUCAAGACUUGUGGGUGACACAUUGGCCGUUGCUCCGAAAAUUUUCAUUGUAGAGUUUGGGCAAAAAUCACGAUUCUUGUCCAUCAUACAAGAGUUACGACCAUAUUGUCACCUCUCGAAGGGAGAGUUCAUCAUAUAGAUUACAUGUUCAUACAUUUAUCAUGCAUGAACCGGGUCGAAACGUAGGUCCCUUGUACAAGUUGUGCUGCACGAGAUUGAAGAAAAAUAAUGGAAGUGAACAAAGGAGUCAGAUAUAGGUUCAGUAUCAGAUUAAGGUUGAGAGCAUCAAGAGUGAAGUAGCGGGACUCAGAUCUGCUCGAACAAGUGUUGAGCAUCAAAUGAAAAGAGAAUGUCUGCACAGUUUUCUGUGGGAACACUGCUUGUUCACGUCCAAUUGAAGCUGUACCUUUCCUUUUCAGUCAUGAACAAAGCAACAACGCCUUCAGUCAUCAACUAAUGACAACUCUGAUUCCUGUCCAGUUGCGCUGUUAAGUAUUCAUCGCCUCCACAUCAUCUAAUGGAACCAAACGACUACUAACCUCCUGUUCAUGGUGCAUUAGUCUGCUUUGAAGUUACCCCAAUUAUGAGCUCAAUUCCAGUUCAGCAGCACAAGAUGUUGGUCUGAAAAAAAAAAAACAUGAUCAGACACUGAAUUUCAACGCGGUAGAGCUCUCUCUGUAGAGAUUUAUUUGUGGAUCUGUCAAUGGCAAAUGCAAAAGGGAAUGUAUUAAUUUCAUAUGCUUUGAAACUAUUUCCCACCAGUGGCACCAGCAAAACAUUGUAGUAGGCAGAAGAGUCAGACCUGGUCUGAUAAUAUUAGCAGUUGUCAAACUUCAAUGUGGCAGAGUUCUCUCUACAAAAAAUCCAUUUAUGGCUCUGCAAAUUGGGAAUUCAAGAGGGGAUUUACUAAUUGCAUAUGCUACAAAUAUUUCUCUCAUCAGUUUCAGCACGAAGAAACUAUAGCAGGUUGAAGAGCCAGACUUGCCUUGAAAAAUAUGAGCAGACAUCAAACUUCAACGUAGCAGAGCUCUCCCGACAGGAAUCUGUUUGUGGAUCCGCAAGUGGAAAUCCAAGAAGGAAUACAGUAGUUUCAGAUCAUUUAUGAUUUUUCCAACAGUGUCAGUAUUAAAAUGCAAAAGUAGAGAGAAGAUACAUGCCUAGACUGAAAAACAUGAAGAAUACUGAAACUUCAACAGAGCAGGACUUCCUCUAUAGGUGUUUGUUUGCUGCACUGUCAGUGAGAAAUUGAAGAGGGGACAAAGGAGUUUUAGAUUCAUCAGGUGCUCUUCCAAUAAAGACAAUGUGUGAUUCCACACGUCGGUAGUGGCGAUACUACAAGUUUCUGGCGCUGCCAAGAUUACCAAGCUGUUAGAAAGUUUUCUAACAAUCCUCAACCAACCAUAGCAACAUUGGAAGAUUGAAAUAAUGUUGUGAGGAUUUGCCGAAGAAUUGAACAAGCUAUGAAGAGAAGAAAGAUUGAAGGAUCUGCCAUGGAUUCUAGAACAAUGAUGAGAGGUGAAUCAGGAGAUGACUUUGACGGUGUGAACCCUUAAUUAUGUGGUAUAGCCAGGUCUCACGGCAUCAUCAAUUGCUCAAAUAUCUUUGCCAAGAUGGGACAUUCCUCUGCCGUUUAAGUUUGUCGACCAGCAUCUGCCAGAUUCCAGAAUUUUGCUUGACUCCGACAAAUCCCAUGCAACCACCAAUUUCUAGUGGUAUAAUCCAGAUAAGAGAUGUGAUGUCAUGGUGGGGUCCUCAACCAUUUCAAGUGAACAGUUUCAAGAAUUGCAAGAAUGGAGUCUGAAAGUUGGUGAGCAAGAGACAGGUGGAGUCGUUGAAGAAGGGUGUCACUGGCUAUAUUGUUCCCCGAACAUCUUCAGAAUGACAUGUGAUCGAAAAUGCUUGGCAAAACACAGAUAUUGCCAGAAAAGCUGAUUCGAGAAUGGUGAUGAACAGUCAAUCAUAUUGUUAUGGAAUUCUGCAUUUUGUUUUGGGAUCACAUCUCAUCCUUCAACGAAACAUGCCUUGCUUUUGUCUCUUUGUUGUUUUGAAAUCAACAGAUGUUUAGCAUUUUAUUCUGACAAAAUAUUUUGAUCAAACUCCAACAUGCGAUAAAGGUUAAUCAAUCCGGAAGAUUAGAAGUGUUUUGAUUACAGAAAUGACUCUAUGCUUGAAAAUGACAUGAGGUGACCAAACAAUUUUGAACUCAUACCUCCUGAAACUGAACCACACAUCAUAUAGCUAAGUUUUAGCAGUAUGCAUAAUGACAUGUAGUGGAUUCGGUAGUUAUGGACUCGUGAAUCAUGAUUCUUACAAGUCCCAAUCAUUACACUGGAUGAGGUCAAAAUUUAUCGGUUCUAACCGACCUUGCUUGAAAUGAGAAAAGGCCAUCUUUGAUAUCCCUUCACUUUCUAAAGAUUAUAUCCCUUGCAGUCCCAUUUUGAGCCUAGUAAAAUAUUUUCUUUCAAAAAAAAGAAACCCUGACUAGGAUCACACCCCACACUGGGGGCAAAUGAGAGAUAUUUUGGAGACAUUGAUAUAAUUAAUGGAUAAAGGGGAAGGCUUAGAACAAAGGUGCAAUGAUUGAGAGAGAGCUAAAAGAAAACACAUAGACUGGGGGCAUAUAAGAAAAUUUUGAGGAAGGCUAUGAAAAAAAAAAAAGAGAAUGAAAAAAGGAAGGAGAACGCCUAUCAAGUCUAUGAAGAGCAAAAGAAAUUUCAAUCAAGGAAAGGCACAACAAAAGUCAAUACCAGAAAAAAGACUAAGAUAUAAGCGUUGACUUUUGGUAUCCGUUAUAAAACCUAUGAUGUUAUCAGAUGAUUAAGGUUGGUUAUUCUCAAAGAAAGUUGGAUUUGCAUUAUGACUUAUGUUAAGAAAAGUCGAACUUUGAGGUUAACAAGGUUAUAUGUCGUUUCCUCUAUAAAGACAACAAUAGAAAACAAGUUGAUGAAUAGUUGAUGUUGAUCCUAGGUCUUUGAAACCCUCAAACACCUUUUGAGCCUGUGAAAUUCCUUUCUUUCAUAGCCAUGAACCAUAGCCUGCAUUACGUGCUUUUUAAAAGCCCUUUUUAAUCAAGCAAGCAACUUGAACCGAUAAAUGGCGCUCUCAAAACUUGAAGAGUUUUUCCAUAAGAGUCGUGACUUCAUGAAUUAAGUUACCGGUCGUUAUGCAUGUUGAUAAAAUUAUUGCUAAAAACAAAACAUUUUCCUUCAUGAAUCCUCAAGUUUUGACUUGAGCCUGUUGUUUUUUGAAAUUCACAGAAGGUCACCUCACCAUAAACUAUCAAAUGAUAUACCCAAUAUCAAGGAUUCAAAUUGAUACAAAGAACCAUGGAAAAAGCCAUUUUUAAUCCUACAUUGGGUCAAUUUCUGUUUUCAAAAUGCAUGACAAUCAAAGGACUAUAUAUUUCGAAUAAAAUGUGUUGGGCCUUUGAUCAAAAAGCUUGAUUUUCAAAAGAUUUUCAAAAAAGACAUCUCUGAUUUUAUUUCAACAAACUAGACUUUGAAUAGACAUGAUCUUUGAAAUAUGAGAGUUGAUUCCAGAACAAGGAAGAUUAUCAAACACAGAAGAACAUUGAUUGAGUAUGCAAAAUCGUUGAUAGAAAUGACAUUGAAGUCCUCGACACUCCUUGAAAAGUUGAGCAGCUGGGGGCAAUACAGUAGACCUUGAAAAGGAAAAACAAGCAGUGCUCAGAUCAGCUAUGAGGCAAUGUUUAAAUGAUGAAUCAGUGAACUGAAGACAAUGAUGUUCAAAGACAGAUAAUCAAUGAACGAGCACACUCGAUCAUACUGGGGGCAAUGUCAUUCCAAAAUGGCCCAUGCUUUAGUGAAUCCUGUCGGCAAUGGAGAAACAAAAACGUACCUGAAGGGCACUUCCUAUCAUCAUUUUUUGAAACAUGGCUCGCGAUCGAUGAGGAAUACACAGAUGAAUGUAAUUGAAUGGAGAAAAGAUGCAUACCACCAAGACUGACUGUGGAACAAUGCUGCACUUAAAGGACAAUCUCAUAUUGUCAUUCUUUGAAAUAUGGUUAUAGACAGAUGUUAUCACACAACUGCACUGAAUGAAUGUCGGAAAGGCACCCACCUCGAAGACUGAUUGUGGGACAUCUAUUCUGAAGCUCAAAUGCGCACUUCACCGCAUGAAUAUGGGUGAUAACAUGAACAUCAUUGAUGAUGCCAAAGCAGGUAUUUUCACGAUCUGAUUUGACAAGCUAAGAGGAAUCCAUAGAGAAAUACAUCGCGCUUACAAUGAUGAGUUGUUUACUGCAAAGCAUGAGAUACAUGUCUGGAUGACUUGGCAGUUCCAUGAAGGCUGGUGACCAUACAUACUUGAAUGGUGUUUCAACCGAAGGCAAGUUCAUGACUGAUUAACAAACGUGAUGGGUGUUGGCAUGAUGCACACAAUCAAUCAGAGGAUAAUUCUCAGAAGAAGCCAGGAGAGAAAAUCUUUCAUGAUGAAUCAAGCAGUACUACACUUGGGGGCAGGGUCAAGCUUCAUGAACGAUGCAAGCAGUAAUUGUCGAAGACAGCCCGGGAUGGGCACUGCAUUUACAGCUGAGUGGAUGGCUAACACAUGAAUGAGCCAAUGCAUCGGAAGAACAAAGAAAGCUUUGGGAUACAAACAAGGGCACCCUAUGACGAUGGAGCAUCAAAGAGGGGGGACCUAUAUUUCAAAUCAGGUAAGGAUGCAUGCAUAUCAUCUAACCUCAAAAAAAAAAAAAAAAAAAACCAUUUGCACAUAUUUUCAAUUAUCACAGGAAAAUCCCAAAGAAAUGAAGAGAUCAACAUUGCAACGGGAAGCCUCGAGUUUUCAACCCUUGCAGUCAGGAAACACCGAGUUUUCAAACCCCAUGAUCAGGAAUUAGCAGGAAGCACCGAGUUUUCCAGCCCUUUCUUCUGUCAUCCCUUCAGAACUUCGCCAGGUAAGUCCUAUUUUUCACACCGCACUUCAUCAUAUUUUUUCCAUCUAGGUAGGUCACCCAUUACAAUGAGACCACACUUCAUAUUUUUUCCACGUGGGUAGGUCACCCAUUACAAUGAGACCGCACUUCACAUUUUUUCCAUCUGGGUUCGUCACCCAUACAAUGAGACCAUCAUAUUUCUAGGGUUCGUCACCCGUACAAUGAGACCAGCAUUUUUCUAGGGUUCGUCACCCGUACAAUGAGACCAGAAUUUUUCUAGGGUUCGUCACCCGUACAAUGAGACCAGCACUAGGGUUCGUCACCCGUACAAUGAGACCAGCAGCACUAGGGUUCGUCACCCGUACAAUGAGACCAGCAUUUUUCGAGGGUUAGUCACCCGUACAAUGAGACCAGAAGGAGGUCGCCGGAUGGGAUCUCAUGUAGCUUUGGUUAAAGGGAAUCGCCAGAUGGGAUUUCAGGUUAACCGAGUUACACAUAUUUCGUUCCAGUCGAAUGAGGUCGCCAGAUGGGAUCUCAUGUAGCUUUGGUUAAAGGGAAUCGCCAGAUGGGAUUUCAGGUUAAUCGAGUUACACAUAUUUCGUUCCAGAAUGAGGUCGCCAGAUGGGAUCUCAUGUAGCUUUGGUUAAAGGGAAUCGCCAGAUGGGAUUUCAGGUUAACCGAGUUACACAUAUUUCGUUCCAGUUGAAUGAGGUCGCCAGAUGGGAUCUCAGGUAAACCCAAUGUGUGGGCAGGUCGCCCGUGAAAAUAGACUAUUUGGAGAGUGUGGGUCGGUCGCCCGUGAAAAUAGACUUGAGUGAGUAUGUGUGGGCAGGUCGCCCGUGAAAAUAGACUUGAGUGAGUAUGUGUGGGCAGGUCGCCCGUGAAAAAAAGAUUUAAGUGAGUACGUGUCGGUAGGUCGCCCGUGAAAAUAGACCAGAGUGAGUAUGCGUGGGCAGGUCGCCCGUGAAAACAGAUCAGUGUGAGUGUGUGGGCAGGUCGCCCAAGAUAAUGAAAUCAUUUUCCUUUUGUUUUCUUUACAAAGCUUACUAUGCAAAAUUUUGAAGAGUUUUGCUUCGUAAGCAUUGUAAAGAGGGGGCAUCUGUUGCUACCCAAUUUUUGACCCAUGUUUUGAUAUAUUUUCAAAAAAAUCCAAAAAAUUGAGAAAAGCAAAGAAAAUCCAAAAAUAUGUUUUUUAAUAUAUUUUCGUCAUUUUAGCAUUUUCAACGUCGUCUAAAAAAAGAAUUUAAAUGGUUAAAAGAUUUUCAAAUGCGUUCGACGUUUCACGCGUCAUUUUUAAAUCAUUGAUUUUCCGCAUUUAAGUCGACGUUGAUAUUGCUCGUUUUCAAAAAAUACAAAAAAAUAAGAAAAAUCAAAAUUUACAAAAAAGAAAGAAGUUGAGGGAUCAAGUUGAAAAACCUAGCAACAUUUUGCCUAUAAAUACUGGUUUCCUCAACACAUUCAAGAGGGGGGGGCUAAUUUUGGAAACACCAGAAAAUUCAACAAAAAACCCUAAACCACAAAACACCCUAAAAUCUAUCUCUAACCAAAGGCAGCCACCGGAGCCCUCCACCCUUUGGAUUUUUUAUUUUUUUCUUCUCCCUUCCCCCGGUUUCAUUUUUUUCGACCCAAACCAGGCCGGAUUUCCUCCUCCUUAACCCAGCCACCGGUCAUCAACACACUGCCUGCAUUUACCAGCUCCCCCGAAACCGGCCGGCCAGACAAUCUCUUCCUCACUGCAAAUUCUCAGCCCCCCUGACUUCGGUUUACCCCACUGUCACUAACCAAUUAAACCCACAACCAUCGGCCUCCCCCUUUCCAUUUUUUUUUUUUCACAGAGAACCAGCCACAACCUCUCUUCUUCUCCAACACACCGCCUCUCCCCCUUCGUCAUUUUCCCUUUUUCUAGCCAGCUAAGAGCUGAGCUCCCUCAGUCAAAACAGAGCCGUUCUCUCAUCUCCACCAAGCCACCGAUCUGCCACCCGAAGCAGAGGAGAAGAAGACGAAGCCCAGCGCCCACCGCGGCGCAACCAGCAGCUCCGGCCACAGAGCCUCCACCAGCAGCCCUUCGGUCACACCGCCGAGUGCUUGAAACAGAAGGGUGGGCAAGCAAAAGACCAGAACAGAUCGGCGAAGAAGGAAGCCAGACCCGAACCGAUGAAGAAGACCCAAAAACAGAUCUGAAAAACUAAAAAAAAACUUAAAAUCGACUGCCCUUGUUGUGUUGUUGUUUGUUUUGCAGGUGACGGGCAGCAGUAGAUUGAAGAGGGGAGGAAGCCAUUGCAGCCCCCUCACGC
Molecule: long non-coding RNA, 9181 nt
Filed under: Populus tremula
Lineage: Eukaryota; Viridiplantae; Streptophyta; Magnoliopsida; Malpighiales; Salicaceae
Description: long non-coding RNA (PTRE_LNC000148)
Source: RNAcentral